RNAcentral lists this ribosomal RNA (961 nucleotides) under Globodera rostochiensis. RNAcentral's name for it is "SSU rRNA". It matches the Rfam family "Eukaryotic small subunit ribosomal RNA", at positions 55 to 1017 of the family's 1831-position model. Lineage: Eukaryota; Metazoa; Nematoda; Chromadorea; Rhabditida; Heteroderidae. The record is from RNAcentral.
AUGUAUAAGUGUAACCUGCCAGACAGGGAAACUGCGUACGGCUCAUUACACCAGCUAUAAUUUACUUGACCUUGACUUCUUACUUGGAUAACUGUGGUAAUUCUAGAGCUAAUACAUGCACCAAAGCUCCAAUCUCCCCAGAGCGGAGCGCAUUUGUUCGCCACAAAACCAAGCGCCUUCGGGCGUCCAGUGUUGACUCAGAACAACUAAGCUGAUCGCACGGUCUUGUACCGGCGACGUGUCUUUCAAGUGUCUGCCUUAUCAACUUUCGAUGGUAGUGUACCUGACUACCAUGGUGAUGACGGGUAACGGAGGAUAAGGGUUCGACUCCGGAGAAGGGGCCUGAGAAAUGGCCACUACGUCUAAGGAUGGCAGCAGGCGCGCAAAUUACCCACUCUCAACAUGAGGAGGUAGUGACGAGAAAUAACGAGACCGAUCUCUUAUGAGGCCGGUCAUCGGAAUGGGUACAACUUAAACCCUUUAACGAGUAUCUAUGAGAGGGCAAGUCUGGUGCCAGCAGCCGCGGUAAUUCCAGCUCUCAAAAUGCAUAGAAUUAUUGCUGCGGUUAAAAAGCUCGUAGUUGGAUCUGUGCUAGCCGGCCGGUCCACCCACUGGGUGUGCACUGGUUCGGUUGGCUUUUCUGCCGGUCUUUCCCCGGCGUUGGCCUUCACCGGUCGGCGUCGGUGGGCUGGCGAGUUUACUUUGAACAAAUCAGAGUGCUUCAAACAGGCGUUUCGCUUGAAUGUUCGUGCAUGGAAUAAUAGAAGAGGAUUUCGGUCCGAUUUUAUUGGUUUUGCUGACCGAGAUAAUGGUUAACAGAGACAAACGGGGCCAUUCGUAUUGCUACGUGAGAGGUGAAAUUCUUGGACCGUAGCAAGACGGACUACAGCGAAAGCAUUUGGCAAGAAUGUCUUCAUUAAUCAAGAACGAAAGUCAGAGGUUCGAAGGCGAUCAGAUACCG